This 426-nucleotide ribosomal RNA is filed under the name uncultured bacterium. RNAcentral's name for it is "bacterial SSU rRNA". It matches the Rfam family "Bacterial small subunit ribosomal RNA", at positions 356 to 773 of the family's 1533-position model. The record is from RNAcentral.
AGGGAAUCUUCCGCAAUGGACGAAAGUCUGACGGAGCAACGCCGCGUGAGUGAAGAAGGCCUUCGGGUCGUAAAACUCUGUUGCCGGGGAAGAACAAGUGCCGUUCGAACAGGGCGGCGCCUUGACGGUACCCGGCCAGAAAGCCACGGCUAACUACGUGCCAGCAGCCGCGGUAAUACGUAGGUGGCAAGCGUUGUCCGGGAUUAUUGGGCGUAAAGCGCGCGCAGGCAGCUUCUUAAGGCUGAUGUGAAAUCUUGCGGCUCAACCGCAAGCGGUCAUUGGAAACUGGGAGGCUUGAGUGCAGAAGAGGAGAGUGGAAUUCCACGUGUAGCGGUGAAAUGCGUAGAGAUGUGGAGGAACACCAGUGGCGAAGGCGACUCUCUGGGCUGUAACUGACGCUGAGGCGCGAAAGCGUGGGGAGCAAAC